GUUUUAAUAAUAUUGUGGCGGCACUCGACAAGCCAAAUACCACCACUCGACACUAACUAUGGUGGGACGACGGCAGCGCAGUGGUUAACGUCUUAGGUUGCGAACGUUCGGAAUCCGGGUUCGAAUCCCAGCGACCAGAGUCCGAUUUUACUUCCACGCACCAAAAGAACGGAGGAAAAAUCAGCAGUACCCCGGCAGUGAUAUCUACAGCCCCCAGUGACAAUUGCUGCGGACGAGGCCCAACAACUACUACUAUCACGCACGUCCAAUAUAUAUAACACGCAUACACGGCCACCUCAAUAUUUUAAUACGUAUACGAUAAUGUGCUAUACAUCAUAUAAUCGAUCAAAACAAUCGAAUAUCAAACACACGAUAUACAUACAGCGUAAUAAAAAAAA
RNAcentral lists this unclassified non-coding RNA (398 nucleotides) under Bombus terrestris (buff-tailed bumblebee). RNAcentral's name for it is "misc RNA ENSBTSG00005034255.1". Lineage: Eukaryota; Metazoa; Arthropoda; Insecta; Hymenoptera; Apidae. The record is from RNAcentral.